This 482-nucleotide ribosomal RNA is filed under the name Naegleria gruberi. RNAcentral's name for it is "SSU rRNA". It matches the Rfam family "Eukaryotic small subunit ribosomal RNA", at positions 713 to 1172 of the family's 1831-position model. Lineage: Eukaryota; Heterolobosea; Eutetramitea; Acrasida; Naegleriidae. The record is from RNAcentral.
ACUUACUUACCACGGUUCAUCCGUGAGGCCCUUGGCUUGCAACUGUAAAUAAAUCGUUGUGCUUAAAGCGGGCUAUGAUACUCUGCCAGAGCGAUUUAGCAUGGGACUGCAGAGUAGCUGUAUUUGAGCGAAGGUUGCACCUCGGUGUGGCUGGAGCUUGGUACAGCGCUUGUAAUGGAGCUCAGGGUGAGGCCCCGGGUACCAUGAGGCUAGAGGUGAAAUUCUGAGACCCUCAUGUGACCAACUAAGGCGAAAGCUGUCGUGGGCCACCACAAGCUCGUCUAUCAGGGACGAAAGUUGGGGGAUCGAAGACGAUUAGAUACCGUCGUAGUCCCAACUAUAAACGAUACCAACCGAGUAUUUGGGAAGACACUAUCCCAGCGAUCUUCUCAGAACUCAAGGGAAACCUUAAGUCUUUGGGUUCUGGGGGGAGUAUAGUCGCAAGACCGAAACUUAAAGGAAUUGACGGAAAGGCACCACCA